GAAACCAACAGGGAUUGCCCCAGUAACGGCGAGUGAAGCGGCAACAGCUCAAAUUUGAAAUCUGGCCCCUAGGGCCCGAGUUGUAAUUUGUAGAGGAUGCUUUUGGUGAGGUGCCGCCCGAGUUCCCUGGAACGGGACGCCACAGAGGGUGAGAGCCCCGUCUGGCUGGCCGCCGAGCCUCUGUAAAGCUCCUUCGACGAGUCGAGUAGUUUGGGAAUGCUGCUCAAAAUGGGAGGUAUAUGUCUUCUAAAGCUAAAUAUUGGCCAGAGACCGAUAGCGCACAAGUAGAGUGAUCGAAAGAUGAAAAGCACCUUGAAAAGAGGGUUAAAUAGUACGUGAAAUUGUUGAAAGGGAAGCGCUUGUGACCAGACUUGGGCGCGGCGGAUCAUCCGGGGUUCUCUCCGGUGCACUUCGCCGCGUCUAGGCCAGCAUCAGUUCGUCGCGGGGGAAAAAGGCUUCGGGAACGUGGCUCCUCCGGGAGUGUUAUAGCCCGUUGCAUAAUACCCUGCGGUGGACUGAGGACCG
This 525-nucleotide ribosomal RNA is filed under the name Trichoderma sp. FSU 10146. RNAcentral's name for it is "eukaryotic LSU rRNA". It matches the Rfam family "Eukaryotic large subunit ribosomal RNA", at positions 61 to 595 of the family's 3401-position model. The record is from RNAcentral. Lineage: Eukaryota; Fungi; Ascomycota; Sordariomycetes; Hypocreales; Hypocreaceae.